GGUUAUGGCACAGUGGUAGAGUGCUCACCUAGAAUGUGUGAGGCCCUGAGUUUGAUCCUCAGCACCA
RNAcentral lists this transfer RNA (67 nucleotides) under Marmota monax (woodchuck). RNAcentral's name for it is "tRNA.Ser". Lineage: Eukaryota; Metazoa; Chordata; Mammalia; Rodentia; Sciuridae. The record is from RNAcentral.